UACGUAGGGUGCGAGCGUUAAUCGGAUUUACUGGGCGUAAAGCGUGCGCAGGCGGCCCGUAAAGACAGGUGUGAAAUCCCUGGGCUCAACCUAGGAAUUGCGCUUGUGACUGGCGGGCUCGAGUACGGUAGAGGGGGGUGGAAUUCCUGGUGUAGCAGUGAACUGCGUAGAGAUCAGGAGGAAAACCGAUGGCGAAGGCAGCCCCCUGGGCCUGUACUGACGCUCAUGCACGAAAGCGUGGGUAGCAAACAGG
RNAcentral lists this ribosomal RNA (253 nucleotides) under uncultured microorganism. RNAcentral describes it as "partial 16S ribosomal RNA". It matches the Rfam family "Bacterial small subunit ribosomal RNA", at positions 524 to 776 of the family's 1533-position model. The record is from RNAcentral.